Molecule: ribosomal RNA, 455 nt
Filed under: uncultured bacterium
Lineage: Bacteria
Description: bacterial SSU rRNA
Rfam family: Bacterial small subunit ribosomal RNA
Source: RNAcentral
CGCUGGCGGCGUGCUUAACACAUGCAAGUCGAACGGUAAGGCCCUUCGGGGUACACGAGUGGCGAACGGGUGAGUAACACGUGGGUGAUCUGCCCUGCACUUCGGGAUAAGCCUGGGAAACUGGGUCUAAUACCGGAUAGGACCAUGGACUUCACGGUUUGUGGUGGAAAGCUUUUGCGGUGUGGGAUGGGCCCGCGGCCUAUCAGCUUGUUGGUGGGGUAAUGGCCUACCAAGGCGACGACGGUAGCCGGCCUGAGAGGGUGUCCGGCCACACUGGGACUGAGAUACGGCCCAGACUCCUACGGGAGGCAGCAGUGGGGAAUAUUGCACAAUGGGCGCAAGCCUGAUGCAGCGACGCCGCGUGAGGGAUGACGGCCUUCGGGUUGUAAACCUCUUUCAAUAGGGACGAAGCGCAAGUGACGGUACCUAUAGAAGAAGCACCGGCCAACUACGUG